Molecule: ribosomal RNA, 501 nt
Filed under: uncultured bacterium
Lineage: Bacteria
Description: partial 16S ribosomal RNA
Rfam family: Bacterial small subunit ribosomal RNA
Source: RNAcentral
AUUGAACGCUGGCGGCAUGCCUUACACAUGCAAGUCGAACGGCAGCACGGGUGCUUGCACCUGGUGGCGAGUGGCGAACGGGUGAGUAAUAUAUCGGAACGUACCUUAUUGUGGGGGAUAACGCAGCGAAAGCUGUGCUAAUACCGCAUAAUCCCUAAGGGGGAAAGCGGGGGACCGUAAGGCCUCGCGCAAUUAGAGCGGCCGAUACCUGAUUAGCUAGUUGGUGAGGUAAAGGCUCACCAAGGCAACGAUCAGUAGCUGGUCUGAGAGGACGAUCAGCCACACUGGGACUAAGACACGGCCCAGACUCCUACGGGAGGCAGCAGUGGGGAAUUUUGGACAAUGGGGGCAACCCUGAUCCAGCAAUGCCGCGUGAGUGAAGAAGGCCUUCGGGUUGUAAAGCUCUUUUGUCAGGGAAGAAACAGCAGCUCUAACACAGUUUGCGAAUGACGGUACCUGAAGAAUAAGCACCGGCUAACUACGUGCCAGCAGCCGCGGUAA